UUACACAGAUAUUAUAUUGCGUCCCUUUCCUUCCCCCCCUCUCCUUUUGAGCCAUUGUGCUUAACUGAAUUUUAUAAAGCUGAUCGAUAUCUUGGUAAAAUAUUCAUUUUUAAACUAGCGGGCAGCGAAAUCUUUGCUUUGUGCUAAAGUCAACAGUAGCACAGUUUCAGCUCAAAUAAAUGCAGGGAUGCUUCCAGCUCCCUCAGAGCCGGGCGCGGCGCAGCCGCUCGUCCUGCGGCCGGGGCGCAGGCGCGGGGCAGCUGGCCGAGCCCCGCCGCCACGGGGCUGGGUGCCGGGCAGGGACCCUCCCGCUUCCCCCUCCUGCCAUGGGCCGGGCCUUACGCCCUCCUGCUCUUCCCCAGGUGGCCCCUGCUCGUUAUAGACCAGAGGGGCAGGAAAGCCUUCGAUGUACUUUUUAUUUGCUGCAGGCAGUGCAGAUUUCUGCAGCCAGAGCCUCGCUGCUGCCAGAUUGCUGCCAGCGCCAACAAUCCGUCGCCGGAGCAAGGUGCGCACCCUUGGCUGGGGACGGGCCGGCUCUCUGCAGGUCUCCGACCCCACAGUCGCACAAGCAGUACAAAGAAUGAGCCUCCUCCCUCCGCGGCUGGACAGCAGCUAGCCAAGUGCCCCGCAGCACCGAGGAGUGCAAGUGUGGGGAUUUCAGUUCCAUCCCGGUACUGACGGUGGCAAUGCUGGAGGAGUUGGGGACCUCGAGAUGCUCCGUGUGUCACCAGGCUGUCUUCUGCACGCAGGCGAAGCAGCCGCUCGGUGCGCUCCAUUAUGUGUGUGCACUUAUCCUCAACUUCCCUCUCCUUUGUUUAUUUUAAUAAUGGCACAGGGAGUCAGUUUCAGGGGUAGAUGGGGCAAACUUCUGGGCUUUACAGAGUGUGUUGCUACUGUGUAUGCAUCUCCUAUUAAAUCCACAGAUUCCCAUCUCCGAUUGCCUCUUUGUGUCUGUCCUUGUGCAUGAUACCUGUGUUAUGGUUCAACAGCUCCCAAUGGGAAUGGGGAGAAGCUAUCUUUGCCUUGAGGACAGUUAGGAAGAUGCUUUUCCAGGAUCGAUCCUUUUAGGAAUCAGGGAAGUG
Molecule: long non-coding RNA, 1082 nt
Organism: Oxyura jamaicensis (ruddy duck)
Lineage: Eukaryota; Metazoa; Chordata; Aves; Anseriformes; Anatidae
Exons: 2
Source: RefSeq, a predicted model, not a curated record